Molecule: microRNA precursor, 87 nt
Filed under: Petromyzon marinus (sea lamprey)
Lineage: Eukaryota; Metazoa; Chordata; Hyperoartia; Petromyzontiformes; Petromyzontidae
Description: microRNA pma-mir-4546 precursor
Source: miRBase by way of RNAcentral
GGGCAGCAGCAGCAGCAAGUCGGCGUGGAAGGCGAUGGUCGCCUUCGGCCUCCUCGCCCUGGCUCACGCCGCCUUCUCUGCCGCGCA